This 632-nucleotide ribosomal RNA is filed under the name uncultured Pseudomonadales bacterium. RNAcentral's name for it is "bacterial SSU rRNA". It matches the Rfam family "Bacterial small subunit ribosomal RNA", at positions 54 to 682 of the family's 1533-position model. The record is from RNAcentral. Lineage: Bacteria; Pseudomonadati; Pseudomonadota; Gammaproteobacteria; Pseudomonadales.
AAUGCCAGUCGAGCGGUAGAGAGAAGCUUGCUUCUCUUGAGAGCGGCGGACGGGUGAGCCUUCCUGGGAAUCUGCCUGGUAGUGGGGGAUAACGUUCGGAAACGGACGCUAAUACCGCAUACGUCCUACGGGAGAAAGCAGGGGAUCUUCGGACCUUGCGCUAUCAGAUGAGCCCAGGUCGGAUUAGCUAGUAGGUGGGGUAAAGGCUCACCUAGGCAACGAUCCGUAACUGGUCUGAGAGGAUGAUCAGUCACACUGGAACUGAGACACGGUCCAGACUCCUACGGGAGGCAGCAGUGGGGAAUAUUGGACAAUGGGCGAAAGCCUGAUCCAGCCAUGCCGCGUGUGUGAAGAAGGUCUUCGGAUUGUAAAGCACUUUAAGUUGGGAGGAAGGGUUGUAGUUUAAUACGCUGCAAUCUUGACGUUACCGACAGAAUAAGCACCGGCUAACUCUGUGCCAGCAGCCGCGGUAAUACAGAGGGUGCAAGCGUUAAUCGGAAUUACUGGGCGUAAAGCGCGCGUAGGUGGCUAAGUAAGAUGGGUGUGAAAUCCCCGGGCUCAACCUGGGAACUGCAUCCAUAACUGCUUAGCUAGAGUACGGUAGAGGGUAGUGGAAUUUCCUGUGUAGCGGU